UACGUAGGUGGCAAGCGUUGUCCGGAAUUAUUGGGCGUAAAGCGCGCGCAGGUGGUUCCUUAAGUCUGAUGUGAAAGCCCACGGCUCAACCGUGGAGGGUCAUUGGAAACUGGGGAACUUGAGUGCAGAAGAGGAAAGUGGAAUUCCAAGUGUAGCGGUGAAAUGCGUAGAGAUUUGGAGGAACACCAGUGGCGAAGGCGACUUUCUGGUCUGUAACUGACACUGAGUCGCGAAAGCGUGGGGAGCAAACAGG
Molecule: ribosomal RNA, 253 nt
Filed under: uncultured bacterium
Lineage: Bacteria
Description: partial 16S ribosomal RNA
Rfam family: Bacterial small subunit ribosomal RNA
Source: RNAcentral